Molecule: ribosomal RNA, 593 nt
Filed under: Inocybe ochroalba
Lineage: Eukaryota; Fungi; Basidiomycota; Agaricomycetes; Agaricales; Inocybaceae
Description: eukaryotic LSU rRNA
Rfam family: 5.8S ribosomal RNA (bases 263-416)
Source: RNAcentral
AAGGAUCAUUAUCGAAUAAACUUGAACAGGCUGCUGCUGGCCUCCUCAUUUGAGGGGUGUAAUGUGCACGCUUGUCAUCUUUAUCAUCUCUCCAACUGUGCACAUAUUGUAGACCUGGAAGAAAGUUUUUGAAUUCAUUUUCGAGUUGGGACUGCUGUGCUUUUUGAUCAAAGUCGGCUUUGCCUUGAAUUUUCCAGGUCUAUGUCAUUUUCACAACCUCUUGAUAUGUUUAGAAUGUUGAAUCAUAGUUAAAGAAAUAUACAACUUUCAGCAACGGAUCUCUUGGCUCUCGCAUCGAUGAAGAACGCAGCGAAAUGCGAUAAGUAAUGUGAAUUGCAGAAUUCAGUGAAUCAUCGAAUCUUUGAACGCAUCUUGCGCUCCUUGGUAUUCCGAGGAGCAUGCCUGUUUGAGUGUCAUUUAACUUCUCUCAACUGCAUCACUCAGUCUGAUGUGGCUUGGACGUGGGGCUUUGCAGGCUUUGAAUGAAGUCUGCUCCCCUGAAAUGAAUUAGUGGUAUCUGAGCUGCCAAUAGGUGUGAUAAUUAUCUACUUCUUUUGGUCAUGCUGGUUGUGCUGCUUCUAACAAACACUUGU